UACGUAGGGUGCGAGCGUUAAUCGGAAUUACUGGGCGUAAAGCGCGUGUAGGCGGUUUUUUAAGUCUGAUGUGAAAGCCCCGGGCUCAACCUGGGAAGUGCAUUGGAUACUGGGAGACUUGAAUACGGGAGAGGGUAGUGGAAUUCCUAGUGUAGGAGUGAAAUCCGUAGAUAUUAGGAGGAACACCGGUGGCGAAGGCGGCUACCUGGACCGAUAUUGACGCUGAGACGCGAAAGCGUGGGGAGCAAACAGG
This 253-nucleotide ribosomal RNA is filed under the name uncultured bacterium. RNAcentral's name for it is "partial 16S ribosomal RNA". It matches the Rfam family "Bacterial small subunit ribosomal RNA", at positions 524 to 776 of the family's 1533-position model. The record is from RNAcentral.